RNAcentral lists this long non-coding RNA (5868 nucleotides) under Homo sapiens (human). RNAcentral's name for it is "HSALNT0018849". The record is from RNAcentral. Lineage: Eukaryota; Metazoa; Chordata; Mammalia; Primates; Hominidae.
UCAGAUUGCUAAAAAAAGUCUCUUCUACAUGCUAUAGAAAGAUUUCUGAAAAUAAGAUGUAAAGAAAGAAUAGCUAAUAUUUUUAAAGACAUCCUGUGCUUCAGUCACCUACUUACACUGAAUUACUUUUGUUUAUGGGUAGCAUUGUGUGGCAGAUUAAAGAUGGCAGUAGAUAUUUUCACAUUUGUUUUAUGGAGAAGAUGGUUCUAAAUAUCUUCUCCUUUAAUCUGACUUGGCUUUAGUGAUUAGCUUAAUCAGCAGAAUGCAGUGGAAGUGAAAAAAAUGAGAUCUCUGAGGCUAAAAUAUAAAGUAUUUGCAUUUUUUCCUAGUUUUUCUGGAACACUGUCUCUGAGAGCCCUGAUCAACCAUGUAAGGAGGUAGAUUGCCCUCAGACCUGAAGAUGACAUGUGAAGGACCUCUAGAAAACCGUCCCAGCUGAGCCCUUUUUUCCAGCCUCCCUACCAAGGCAGAAAAGUGAAAGGUGAGAGGAUAAAAAGAAAAAUGAAUAAAGAGCUUAAAGAAAGAUAAUUCAAGGAAAGAAGAAUGGCAGACAGUUAAGAAGAGGAAGACCUGAGCUUUGGAACAUUCUGAACCAUAACAGUUCAGCUGCAACUGCAGCCACAGUUGUGUCAUACAGUGUUCCCAAGACAAAUCUUGCAGAUGCAAGAGAACCUUGUUAAAAUCAGGAAGACUCCAUUUCCCAGGACAGUCCUCAUUUCAUCUCGAUGACCAAUGAGAUAGAUGUUUCUGGGCAUCAGGAAACCGAGACAGGUGAGGCAGAGGACAUCUGUAAAUGGAGGGUGAAGCCAAUGAAGAGUCAUCUCGAAGGUGGCACAACUGGGAGGUGGCAGACUCUGUAUGGUUCCCAGGCUGCCUCUCUUGAGGAUGGUGUGUCACAGUAAGUAGGAUAAACACAAAAGUAAACAGGAAAGAAGUCAUAUGACUAAUAAAAAGCUCUCCAAAAUUUGUUUCUACAGGUACACAACUAUUUUGCAGUAAACACAUGAGUGGAAUUUUAUCCUAUUAUAAUUUCUUCUGUUUACAAAAUACAGUCUACAAGAUUAAGUAGUAGGCACAAAAAUAGCGCACUUUUACUGAUUUUAGGUUGAGAGAUUGCUUUAAUUCUAAAACACCCACAUUUUAAUUUAUAUAAACAAAAUCAUCAUAGGUUAAACAAAUGUAACAUUUUUCCAACCUAAUAUCUAGAUUAGAUAAAAAUCUUUUUUUUGGCAUGGGGGUUGCAAAAUUUAAAAAGAAAUGUGCUUAAUUAAUGUUUUAAAUAAGUUGUGGCUAAAAGUUUUAGUUGGUAUUCUUUAAAAUAGGAAUUUUAAGGAGGACCUUAUGAACCAAAAUUAUCACAAUUUGUGAUAAAUGUUUUAACUUUUCAUUCCAAACAUAUGAUUAUUCUAAAAAUUGGAAACAACCAGAGGGAGGUAAAUCAGAUCUAUCUUUGUAAGGACUCUUUCUGAAAAAGCACUAGUUCAUUCAGUAAAUUCAGUCUAAAAUGAAAUUAUUUUUAGCAAUGUUGGCCUGUAAAGCAUAAAGUUGAAUGAAUCUGUGAACUGACUGAACUAAAUUUUUUAAUGAAAUCAAUACCCCAUAUACAUUUUUCAACUGAAUACAUAAAAAUGAAUAAAGUGUAAUUUAAAUGAAAUACACACAAUGAAAUAAAAUGUAAAGUUCUUUCCAAACGUCAUUAAUUUAAAAUAAUUUUAGCUUAGAACAUUUUCAGGUAUCUCAAAAAAAUUGGUUUAUAUAAUGCCAUAUUUGGGGAUGAUAUAUUUCCUUAUGUUAUUUUAUGAAAACUGCCUAUAACUCUUCUUUCAAAGGGCACUAAAUGAAGAAAGGAGUCGACAAGGUGGUGUACAACUAUUAUUCUCCAAAUGCGAACACCCGCAAUCAACUCAUAUUCUUUUAUUUUUUUUUUGAGAUGGAGUCUGGCUCUGUUGCCCAGGCUGGAGUGCAGAACCAAGCACAUUAUAAGUACUCAGUAAACCUAAGUGAAUGAAAGAAUGAACAAAAGACAGAAAGAAGAUGAAAAUUCCUCCUUUCUCACUGAAACUUUCUAAAAUAGUUUAAAAGGAAGAGGCAUACAUCCUAAAGUUGCCAAAUUUAGCUAAAAAAAUACAGGAUGCCCGGUUUAAUUUGAAUUUCAGAUAAUCAACAAAUAAUUAUUUAGUGUACAUCCUAAAUGCUGCAAGAAUGAUAUAUAAAUUAUCCAUAUACAUAUUUAAAAUUCAAAUCUAACUGGGUAUUCUGUAUUUUAUCUGGUAACCCCAACACCACCAAAUCUACAUAAAAUAUUGCAAAACUUCCAGGAAGUUGUUAAAAUGUGGAGUGUAGACCUCGUGCUGUGAAAACUACAUAAGGAGCUGGUGCAAUCCAAGUAAUAAUGUAAAACAAAUAGAAUAAAGUAUACACAAAGAAAACUUCCAUUUUUACAUAAGCAAGUGGAUGACUAAGAAAACCAAGGGCUAAGGGGAAUGGUAUGUGGCCAAGGGAAAAGCUUGGAAGCAAUGUCAAGAAACCUGUGUCCCAAUCUCAGCUCUGUUGAGAAAUUUUAGGCAAAGAUGACAGAAUUAUCUCCUUUGAUCUUCGCUUUCUAUAGAGUAAAAUAACUGAAGAUUCUCUAUAUAUCGACAUGCUCUAUGAAUUUGUAGUUUUUUUAAGCUCAUCAUCAUUAAUCUAUAAAGCAUACGUUUCUAGAAGAGACAUAUUUAAUUGGUAUUGCGAUGGCAAUAAGCAUAGUUAUGUGACUAAACAAGAAAAAUAAUGUCACUGAAUGUAUGGUUAAGUGUAUUUUUAUUUUGGAUGAAUUUAAAAAGAGAUAUUGACUUUAUAACAAUUAGAAUUUCAUUAUAGUUAAUAUAUUAGUUAAUAUGCUAUAUAACAUAGUGAAUCCUGUUGGGAUUACCGGUAUAUAAUCAGACAUACCUCAUAUCCUAGAGUUUGAUGCCAUAAACAUAACACAAAAUAUAAUGAGUUUGCACUAAUCUUGUUUAAACAACAGGGGUCAUUUUUGCCUCUGUAAUACCUUUUAAGGGGUCAAGCAACAAAUAGAAACAACAAUACCAAAACAACAACAAAAUCCAAAGCUAUAUCCUAAAUUUCACAAGUAUGUUCUAGGUAUGAUGCUUAAACAAAAGGCAGUAGAAAAAUUUUUUGGAAAUAUCCCAUUUAAGUUUUUACUGCAUCUAAUCAAAAUGUCCUUAGACAUAGAUGAUUGAGGAAUGACAUUUGGACGUUAAGGAAAAGAUGAUGGUGUGGUGAAAUAUAAAAAUUUAAAAUGACAGAAUUAUCACCAAAAAAUUAUUGUAUAUUGAUUGGUCACCAAAGCAAAUUUAACUUUAUAACAGGCAUGGAACUGAAAACCAAAGGGAAUUAUUCUUGAGGAUCUGGCUAAGUGACAAACCUGAAAGUGACAAGGUUCUUGCUGGGCAGUUUUAAGAAAGUUACCUAACCUUUCUGAGAACUGGAGAGAUAGUUCCAAUAGCCUAGUGAACACUACAGGCUGGCUUACUCAAGCCCUAUGUUGCACUAGGGAGUCAGGCUAAGAAUGUGUUUGCCAGAUUCCCUUGCAGCUCGAGUUCUCCUGAGACCUGGCCUCUGCCAAAGAGAAACAGUCAGUCACAUAAAAUCUGAAACAGAAAAUGAGACAGAAGCUACAUUUCCACUAUUUCUGCUGCCAAGCACAGUUGCCAACACAUUUGUGGGGAUGAUUCUGAAGUGGUUUUUGAACCAUUCCUGAAAGCUCAGCCUAAAGCUUGCUCCCUGAAGGUUUGGAACGAUUUUAUAAGCACCUAAUUCCCUUAUUUAAAUUCCUGAAAGUUUGGAACGAUUUUAUAAGCACCUAAUUCCCUUCUUUAAAUCCCUUUCAGAAAAUAGGAAAUAGUUUCCAAAUUUCUGCAACUGAACUGUGACCAGUACAGAGAAGAUCUAACAUCUCCCUCAAUAUUUUUUUUAUUUUUUAUUUUUUUGAGACAGAGCUUCACUUUGUUGCCCAGGCUGGAGUGCAGUGGUGCAAUAUUGGCUCACUGCAAUGUCUGCCUCCCAGGUUCAAGCGAUUAUUGUGCUUCAGCCUCCUGAGUAGCUGGGAUUACUUAGUAGAGACGGGGUUUCACCAUGUUGUCCAGGCUGGUCUCGAACUCCUGAGCUUGGGUAAUCCACCAGUCUCGGCCUCCCAAAGUGCUAGGAUUACAGGAGUGAGCCACUGCUCCCCGGCCGUCCUCCUCAAUAUUAUUAAUGAAAAUUUUCUAUACUGACAUGUCUAGGCCAUUUCCUCUCCAAUGUAAAUUUUUCUUUAAAAAAAAAUCCAGGCCAGGUACGGUGACUCACACCUGCAGUCCCAGCACUUUGGGAGGCUAAGGUAGGAGGAUCACUUGAGCCCAGGAGUCUGAGACCAGCUUGGGCAACACGGCAAAAACCUGUCUCUACAAAAACUACAAAAAUUAGCUGGGUAUGGUGGUGUGCACCUGUAGUCCCAGCUACUCAGGAAGCUGAGGCAGGAGGAUUGCUGCAGCCCAGGAAUUAAGGAUGCGGUGAGCCAUGAUUGUGCCACUGCACUGCAGCCUGGGUGACUGGGUGAGACCCUGUCUCAAAAAUACAAACAAACAAACAACAACAAAAAAAAAACCCUAGUCAUUUGAAGCCCUUCACACAUUAAAUGCAGGUUGUAAUAACUGAUAAUAAAUGAGUAAGUGUUAAUAAUAAUUAAAAUGCUUCUCUCCAGAGAAGGAAUAAAGAUCUCCUGCAUUAGCUCCCACUAAUUAUAUUUGUACACUUACCUGCUACAGCUGCAUCCAGUUCAUCAUCAUCAAAGGAGUCCUGUGUGGCAAAGUCACUCAAAGGAGACAGUGGAUAAGAUGUAUUGAGAUUCAAGCCCAGCAUGAAGUUGUGUACCUUCCCAGCACGUCCUUCUCUGUUCUCCUUUUACCUACAGUGCGUGUAAGGGGUAUAUUCUCGACAGUGCCACUUGAUCUAUGCUCAGAUUUCCAGAUAUUUUUAAGUGGUGUUUAUGAAGAUAAAGGAUAAAACCAAAAUCUACAGGUGAGCUACCAAACAGUUUUCUUAAAAUGAAUGAAAGAUACUAACAUAAAUUAUCUUUUGACUUUCAAUAAUAUUGAAAAUUGUCAGUUGAAAUUCACCUUUUGGUGUCAAGAAUUUGUGCUUCCUGCAGAACAUAUUAAGAGAGCAGUUAUAAAAACUAAAAUAACAACCAGAAAUCCUUAAAACAAAGACAGCAGUAAAUUCUAGCAUAAUAACUAGUUAUCUUUCUUCUUUAUGUUUUUUAAAUGGUUACCCAGGCUGGCCUGCAGUGGCAUGAUCUCUGCUCAUUUCAACCUCUGCCUCUGGGCUCAAGCAACCGUUCCACCUUAGCCUCCUGAGUAGCUGGGAUUAUAGGCAUGGACCAUCAUGCUUGGCUAAUUUUUUUAAUUUUUUUUUUUUUUUUUUGGUAGAAAUGAAGUCUCACUCUAUUGCCUAGGCUGGUCUCAAACUCCUGGACUCAAGUGAUCAUCCUUCCUUGGCCUCCCAAAGAACUGGGAUUACUGGUGUGAGCCACAGUGCCCAGACUAGUUGUCUUUUUUCAAGUAAAAUGUGCGUGAAUGAGCAAGAGUUAGUAAUGGAAGGGUUAAUAAAUGCUUAAGGCAAUGGAUUGACAUUUAUUUUUUAAGUUUUUACUGGCAUGAUUAUACAUAAAAAAUUUGAUUAAAUGUUCACAAGCUAAUAUUAUUAGUUUCAUUUCAUGGCUAUCAUCAAUAGUAAUUUUGUUACACAGAGGUGUGGGAGAUGUUAAGAAAUGAUCUAUCCCAGGUGCCAUAUACAUUAGGUGUGUUUCUAGUCCUACAUUUAUUUUCUUUUCCUUCCUUA